RNAcentral lists this ribosomal RNA (468 nucleotides) under uncultured bacterium. Its description in RNAcentral is "partial 16S ribosomal RNA". It matches the Rfam family "Bacterial small subunit ribosomal RNA", at positions 28 to 507 of the family's 1533-position model. The record is from RNAcentral.
GACGAACGCUGGCGGCGUGCUUAACACAUGCAAGUCGAACGGAAAGGCCCUGCUUUUGUGGGGUGCUCGAGUGGCGAACGGGUGAGUAACACGUGAGUAACCUGCCCUUGACUUUGGGAUAACUUCAGGAAACUGGGGCUAAUACCGGCUAGGAGCUCCUGCUGCAUGGUGGGGGUUGGAAAGUUUCGGCGGUUGGGGAUGGACUCGCGGCUUAUCAGCUUGUUGGUGGGGUAGUGGCUUACCAAGGCUUUGACGGGUAGCCGGCCUGAGAGGGUGACCGGCCACAUUGGGACUGAGAUACGGACCAGACUCCUACGGGAGGCAGCAGUGGGGAAUAUUGAACAAUGGGCGGAAGCCUGAUGCAGCAACGCCGCGUGCGGGAUGACGGCCUUCGGGUUGUAAACCGCUUUCGCCUGUGACGAAGCGUGAGUGACGGUAAUGGGUAAAGAAGCACCGGCUAACUACGUG